Molecule: long non-coding RNA, 750 nt
Organism: Hippoglossus stenolepis (Pacific halibut)
Lineage: Eukaryota; Metazoa; Chordata; Actinopteri; Pleuronectiformes; Pleuronectidae
Exons: 7
Source: RefSeq, a predicted model, not a curated record
AUUCAGGACACCUAAAGUAGGCGGAGCUGUUAAGGAUCCGUCUAUAUAUACCAAGGCUGGGCUCUGGUUCAGUCUUUCGUCCAGGCCACACAAUCCAAUAGGAGGCAGAAGACCAUCGUGAAGAAGUCCAAAAACAACAAGAACUUAACUAAAGGCCAUAAGAUGCACCGUCACUCUGAGUCUGCUCAGCCCAUGACUGAGUGUCUAAGGAGAUUAUGCAGCACCACUUGCAGGGACACAUAAAGAUGAAGCAUGAUGGCGCCAGACGUCGACUGGGGCUCCUCAGAGCUCUGAGAGGAACAGCUUUGUUCUCUUGACUCAGACCUGUGUUCUUCUUUGGGUCAAGAGUUAAGUCUGUGGCCAUGAACUGAUGGUGUUUAUGAGGGUGACUAGAUGGCAUCUCCUUUAGCUCAUCCUCCAACACUGAGGAGUUGAAGUGCCAGUUGUGCAGCUGUAUAACUGAGGCAACUCAAGCUAGAUGACACCCCGGCACAAACACUGGACCAGGCAGUUGAAACUGCUACCACGUGUCAGCGCUGGUCGACAUAAGGUCAUCUGGGAAAUGGAGCAGUCUUGACUGUUUAAAAGAUGCUCUCCCAUCACAGCAUCUAAAUGAGUCCGAAACAAGCCUGUCAGUGGGAGGUGUCCUGUAUUGCAUACACAUGGCUUGUACUCAGCUGCUAUAAUGGUUUUAACUGUUGACAUGCAGAUGAAUUUCAUGAAAAUUUAAAUAAAAUUAUUGAUAACAGA